GCCGAUGUAGCACAGGGGUAGUGCAGCUGAUUCGUAAUCAGCAGGUCAGCGGUUCAAAUCCGCUCAUCGGCUCCA
Molecule: transfer RNA, 75 nt
Filed under: Geobacter sp.
Lineage: Bacteria; Pseudomonadati; Thermodesulfobacteriota; Desulfuromonadia; Geobacterales; Geobacteraceae
Also listed under: 3 other names
Description: tRNA-Thr
Rfam family: tRNA
About the family: Transfer RNA (tRNA) molecules are approximately 80 nucleotides in length. Their secondary structure includes four short double-helical elements and three loops (D, anti-codon, and T loops). Further hydrogen bonds mediate the characteristic L-shaped molecular structure. tRNAs have two regions of fundamental functional importance: the anti-codon, which is responsible for specific mRNA codon recognition, and the 3' end, to which the tRNAs corresponding amino acid is attached (by aminoacyl-tRNA synthetases). tRNAs cope with the degeneracy of the genetic code in two manners: having more than one tRNA (with a specific anti-codon) for a particular amino acid; and 'wobble' base-pairing, i.e. permitting non-standard base-pairing at the 3rd anti-codon position.
Source: RNAcentral